GGAAUCUUCGGCAAUGGACGAAAGUCUGACCGAGCAACGCCGCGUGAGUGAAGAAGGUUUUCGGAUCGUAAAACUCUGUUGGUAGAGAAGAACGUUGGUGAGAGUGGAAAGCUCAUCAAGUGCCGGUAACUACCCAGAAAGGGACGGCUAAAUACGUGCCAGCAGCCGCGGUAAUACGUAGGUCCCGAGCGUUGUCCGGAUUUAUUGGGCGUAAAGCGAGCGCAGGUGGUUUAUUAAGUCUGGUGUAAAAGGCAGUGGCUCAACCAUUGUAUGCAUUGGAAACUGGUAGACUUGAGUGCAGGAGAGGAGAGUGGAAUUCCUAGUGGAGCGGUGAAAUGCGUAGAGAUUAGGAAGAACACCAGUGGCGAAGGCGAUUCUCUGGACUGUAACUGACGCUGAGGCACGAAAGCGUGGGUAGCAAACA
RNAcentral lists this ribosomal RNA (424 nucleotides) under uncultured Lactococcus sp. Its description in RNAcentral is "bacterial SSU rRNA". It matches the Rfam family "Bacterial small subunit ribosomal RNA", at positions 358 to 774 of the family's 1533-position model. The record is from RNAcentral. Lineage: Bacteria; Bacillati; Bacillota; Bacilli; Lactobacillales; Streptococcaceae.